This 702-nucleotide ribosomal RNA is filed under the name uncultured bacterium. Its description in RNAcentral is "bacterial SSU rRNA". It matches the Rfam family "Bacterial small subunit ribosomal RNA", at positions 65 to 776 of the family's 1533-position model. The record is from RNAcentral.
UACUGAAAGAGUUUUCGGACGAUGGAAGUAGAGGAAAGUGGCGGACGGGUGAGUAACGCGUGAGGAACCUGCCUUGAAGAGGGGGACAACAGUUGGAAACGACUGCUAAUACCGCAUGAAGCAUAGGGGUCGCAUGAUUCUUAUGCCAAAGAUUUAUCGCUUCAAGAUGGCCUCGCGUCUGAUUAGCUAGUUGGCGGGGUAACGGCCCACCAAGGCGACGAUCAGUAGCCGGACUGAGAGGUUGAACGGCCACAUUGGGACUGAGAUACGGCCCAGACUCCUACGGGAGGCAGCAGUGGGGAAUAUUGGGCAAUGGGCGCAAGCCUGACCCAGCAGCGCCGCGUGAAGGAAGAAGGCUUUCGGGUUGUAAACUUCUUUUAAGAGGGAAGAGCAGAAGACGGUACCUCUAGAAUAAGCCACGGCUAACUACGUGCCAGCAGCCGCGGUAAUACGUAGGUGGCAAGCGUUGUCCGGAUUUACUGGGUGUAAAGGGCGUGCAGCCGGGUCUGCAAGUCAGAUGUGAAAUCCAUGGGCUCAACCCAUGAACUGCAUUUGAAACUGUAGAUCUUGAGUGUCGGAGGGGCAAUCGGAAUUCCUAGUGUAGCGGUGAAAUGCGUAGAUAUUAGGAGGAACACCAGUGGCGAAGGCGGAUUGCUGGACGAUAACUGACGGUGAGGCGCGAAAGUGUGGGGAGCAAACAGG